RNAcentral lists this long non-coding RNA (287 nucleotides) under Elaeis guineensis (African oil palm). RNAcentral's name for it is "long non-coding RNA (EGUI_LNC009493)". Lineage: Eukaryota; Viridiplantae; Streptophyta; Magnoliopsida; Arecales; Arecaceae. The record is from RNAcentral.
AGUGUCAUGGCCAUGGUCCCGAUGGUAGAAACAAAAUCUCUCCUACGUACGAUUCUCCGAUCGAGACCUCAUUCUUUUUGCUCAGGGGAGUUGCUCCUUAAUCUCCAUAAGCAUUUGAGUUUUGGAGGCAUUUAGAGGAGUAUAAUUAGUGAAGUGAACCUCCUUGUGGGCGACUGAUGCCUUGGUGAUUGGUGGCACUGUCCUUAGGGGCUUUUAGGUCAUCGACCCUAAGGAGGAGUUCUAGAUCUUCAAUGUCGGGGUAAAGUCUGAGACUGCCACCAAUCCCC